This 516-nucleotide ribosomal RNA is filed under the name Triticum aestivum (bread wheat). Its description in RNAcentral is "partial small subunit ribosomal RNA". The record is from RNAcentral. Lineage: Eukaryota; Viridiplantae; Streptophyta; Magnoliopsida; Poales; Poaceae.
AUGAGUUUGAAACUCAGUGAUGAGCCAGAUGUGUUUGAUCCGAAGGUGUGCGAAAAAGAAUUUAAGAAUGCUUGCUUACAAAAUCACAUUUCAAAAUCUGACCUGCUAUUCUUCAAGGUUGUACACAAAAAGCACUGGGCAAUAGUAGUUGCUAACAUCACCCAAAAGGAGUUCAAUAUCUUUGACUCCAUCAGGAACUCGGAAGACCUUUUUGAGAUGGACAGGAUCACUAAGAAUGUGGUCGCAAACAUCAAGAGUGUUGCAAUGAGGGAGCCACUUUUUAAGCACAAUCUCGAGUCUUACUCGCUAUUCACCCCACUUGAUUACCCUCAACAAAAAACUUACUAUAACUGUGGCUACUAUAGUAUUUUAUACGUGGAGAAUUGGGAUGGCCUUGUUAUGCUGUCAUUUGGCGAGGAUUACAUCCCAAACCUUCGGAAACACAUUGCAGUAGAUCUGUUGAGACACCCAAGCAACAAGUUGGACCCCGCGCAUCAGUUGAAGUUGCUUCUUUAG